This 463-nucleotide ribosomal RNA is filed under the name uncultured bacterium. Its description in RNAcentral is "partial 16S ribosomal RNA". It matches the Rfam family "Bacterial small subunit ribosomal RNA", at positions 28 to 507 of the family's 1533-position model. The record is from RNAcentral.
GAUGAACGCUGACAGAAUGCUUAACACAUGCAAGUCGAUGGGGAAGUGGUGCUUGCACCCUGGCAACCAUGGCGGACGGGUGAGUAACGCGUAAGGGACUUACCUGCAGGACUGGGAUAACAGGGGGAAACUCCUGACAAGACCGGAUAAUGUCAUGGAGCUGCAUGGCUUUAUGAUGAAAGGAGACGCCUGCGGAGAGCCUUGCGUCCUAUUAGCUAGUUGGUGAGGUAAUGGCUCACCAAGGCGAAGAUAGGUAGCCGGCCUGAGAGGGUGGACGGCCACAAGGGGACUGAGAUACGGCCCUUACUCCUACGGGAGGCAGCAGUGAGGAAUAUUGGACAAUGGGGGCAACCCUGAUCCAGCAAUUCUGUGUGCACGAAGAAGGUUUUCGGAUUGUAAAGUGCUUUCAGCAGGGAAGAAGUAAGUGACGGUACCUGCAGAAGAAGCGACGGCUAAAUACGUG